UAGAGUUUGAUCAUGGCUCAGGAUGAACGCUAGCGACAGGCUUAACACAUGCAAGUCGAGGGGCAGCGGGGAGGUAGCAAUACUUCCGCCGGCGACCGGCGCACGGGUGAGUAACACGUAUGGAACCUGCCCGUAGCAGGGGGAUAAACGGAAGAAAUUCCGUCUAAUACCGCGUAAUAACUCCGAGAGGCAUCUCAUGGAGUUUAAAGGGUAACACCGGCUACGGAUGGCCAUGCGGCGCAUUAGCUAGUUGGCGGGGUAACGGCCCACCAAGGCGACGAUGCGUAGGGGUUCUGAGAGGAAGGUCCCCCACACUGGUACUGAGACACGGACCAGACUCCUACGGGAGGCAGCAGUGAGGAAUAUUGGUCAAUGGGCGCGAGCCUGAACCAGCCAAGUCGCGUGAGGGAAGACGGUCCUAUGGAUUGUAAACCUCUUUUGUCGGGGAGCAAAAGACGCCACGUGUGGCGUUCCGAGAGUACCCGAAGAAAAAGCAUCGGCUAACUCCGUGCCAGCAGCCGCGGUAAUACGGAGGAUGCGAGCGUUAUCCGGAUUUAUUGGGUUUAAAGGGUGCGCAGGCGGAAGAUCAAGUCAGCGGUAAAAUUGAGAGGCUCAACCUCUUCGAGCCGUUGAAACUGGGUGCCUUGAGUGGGCGAGAAGUACGCGGAAUGCGUGGUGUAGCGGUGAAAUGCAUAGAUAUCACGCAGAACUCCGAUUGCGAAGGCAGCGUACCGGCGCCCAACUGACGCUGAAGCACGAAGGCGUGGGUAUCGAACAGGAUUAGAUACCUUGGUAGUCCACGCAGUAAACGAUGAAUGCUAGUUGUCCGGGGCGAUUGAGUUCUGGGUGACACAGCGAAAGCGUUAAGCAUUCCACCUGGGGAGUACGCCGGCAACGGUGAAACUCAAAGGAAUUGACGGGGGCCCGCACAAGCGGAGGAACAUGUGGUUUAAUUCGAUGAUACGCGAGGAACCUUACCCGGGCUCAAACGCCGAAGGAACAUUCCCCGAAAGGGGAAUGGCCAGCAAUGGUCUUCGGCGAGGUGCUGCAUGGUUGUCGUCAGCUCGUGCCGUGAGGUGUCGGCUUAAGUGCCAUAACGAGCGCAACCCCCACCGACAGUUGCUAACUGGUCAAGCAGAGGACUCUGUCGGGACUGCCGGCGCAAGCUGCGAGGAAGGCGGGGAUGACGUCAAAUCAGCACGGCCCUUACGUCCGGGGCGACACACGUGUUACAAUGGCAGGUACAGCGGGAUGCCAUGGGGCGACCCAGAGCGGAACCCGAAAACCUGUCUCAGUUCGGAUUGGAGUCUGCAACCCGACUCCAUGAAGCUGGAUUCGCUAGUAAUCGCGCAUCAGCCACGGCGCGGUGAAUACGUUCCCGGGCCUUGUACACACCGCCCGUCAAGCCAUGGAAGCCGGGGGUGCCUGAAGUGCGUGACCGCAAGGAGCGCCCUAGGGUAAAACCGGUGACUGGGGCUAAGUCGUAACAAGGUAACCGUAA
Molecule: ribosomal RNA, 1501 nt
Filed under: uncultured bacterium
Lineage: Bacteria
Description: bacterial SSU rRNA
Rfam family: Bacterial small subunit ribosomal RNA
Source: RNAcentral